GCCCCUGUAGCUCAACUGGAUAGAGCGCCACGCUUCGGACGUGGAGGUUGUGGGUUCGAGUCCUGCCGGGGGUACCA
This 77-nucleotide transfer RNA is filed under the name candidate division WS2 bacterium ADurb.Bin280. RNAcentral's name for it is "tRNA-Arg". It matches the Rfam family "tRNA". From Rfam's summary of the family: Transfer RNA (tRNA) molecules are approximately 80 nucleotides in length. Their secondary structure includes four short double-helical elements and three loops (D, anti-codon, and T loops). The record is from RNAcentral.